RNAcentral lists this ribosomal RNA (784 nucleotides) under uncultured bacterium. RNAcentral describes it as "bacterial SSU rRNA". It matches the Rfam family "Bacterial small subunit ribosomal RNA", at positions 71 to 886 of the family's 1533-position model. The record is from RNAcentral.
AAGCAGUAGCAAUACUGGUGAGUAAAGUGGCGUACGGGUGAGUAACACGUGGAUCAUCUACCUUCUAGUGGGGAAUAACCCUGGGAAACCGGGGCUAAUACCGCAUAAUCCCGAGAGGGGAAAGUCGCAAGACGCUGAGAGAGGAGCCCGCGGCCGAUUAGCUAGUUGGAGGGGUAAGAGCCCCCCAAGGCAGAGAUCGGUAGCCGGCCUGAGAGGGCACACGGCCACACUGGCACUGAAACACGGGCCAGACUCCUACGGGAGGCAGCAGUGGGGAAUCUUGCACAAUGGGGGCAACCCUGAUGCAGCGACGCCGCGUGAGCGAUGAAGCCCUUCGGGGUGUAAAGCUCUUUCGGCAGGGAAGAUAAUGACGGUACCUGCAGAAGCAGCUGCGGCUAACUACGUGCCAGCAGCCGCGGUAAUACGUAGGCAGCAAGCGUUGUUCGGAGUUACUGGGCGUAAAGGGUGUGUAGGCGGCUUUUUAAGUUUGGUGUGAAAUCUCCCGGCUUAACUGGGAGGGUGCGCCGAAUACUGAAAGGCUAGAGUGCGGGAGAGGAAAGUGGAAUUCCUGGUGUAGCGGUGAAAUGCGUAGAUAUCAGGAGGAACACCGGUGGUGUAGACGGCUUUCUGGACCGUAACUGACGCUGAGACACGAAAGCGUGGGUAGCAAACAGGAUUAGAUACCCUGGUAGUCCACGCCCUAAACGAUGCAUAUUUGGUGUGGGCAGUUCAUUCUGUCCGUGCCGGAGCUAACGCGUUAAAUAUGCCGCCUGGGGAGUACAGU